GACACGUGUCUUUAGCUUACAAUCCUAACCCUCCAUUAAUCUAUUCCCAAUUUUUUUCAUCUGCUUUCUUUUCCAUCUUUGCCCUGUUCAUUAUCUCCUCAGUUCAUUCACCAUCCCUUUACUCUUUGCUGUUAUGUACUCCUUUCUCAUUAUUGAGUUUCUUUCUCUACUCUUCCCUUUAUUAUUCUCUGUUAAUCAUCUCAGUUUCUUCCUCUACUCUUGGUCCUUCAUUUGCUUUUCAAGUACUUAUUGAUUUUCUUUUGACUUUGUCCAUUUCUUUGCUGAGUUUCAGGGAAAAUGAAAUACAAAGACAAUCAUCAAUACCGAGAAUGGAGUUGGAGAACAUUUAAUGGCGUCUUUGAGAAGCAUGGCAGCUUUAAGAUCGAUUUAUUUGUCGAUAAUGGAGAUUGUUUUUUCAUCGUGGAGGAAGAAGUUUCAAAUAAUAGUUUGAUUUUAAGAAAUGGAGGAUAUUUUGAAAUUUGAAGGACAUCAUUUAGGAGAUGCUUAACUUUUCAUAUAAUGUCAUCAACAAUGGAGGUAGAUUAAGAACUGUUCUUGAUGUGGGUUGUGGUGUUGCGAGUUUUGGUGGUACCUUCUCUCAUCCGAUGUCAUUGCUAUGUCCUUGGCACGUAAUGCUGUUCAUCAAAAUCAAAUACAGAUUGGAUUGGAAAGACGAACCCCUGCUUAUCUUGGUGUUUUAGGGACAAAAAGCUACCAUAUCCUAGCAGGUCAUUUGAACUUGCGCACUGCUCACGAUGUAGAAUGGAUUGGCUUCAAAGAGAUGAUACACUUGUUCUUGAGUUAGAUAGGGUUUGGUGGCUAUUUUGCCUAAUCUUCUCCAAAAGCAUAUGCACAAGAUGAGGAGGUUCUUAGGAUAUGGAAAGAGAUGAGUGCUGUUGUGGAGAGGAUCUUAGCAUAUGCACCUUAUUAUUUGUUUGUUUGGCACCUUAGAUUACUUUUUUGCUUUUCUUCGUCCUUGCUAAGUUGUUUGCUUAAAUAACUUUGCAUUACCAGACUGAUUGUCAAUCUGUCAUCAAUAUGUUGCACCCAAAUCUGAAGAACUAAAACGGCAGCCAGAUGGGAGUACGUUCGCUUUGGAGUUAGAUAAUAAAGGAUCAAGUCCGACCUCAGCACCAUAAACUUAAACAAAUUUUGAAUCUAGCCAGAAAAAUCGACCUGGACUUUCUGAAAAUCCAAUUCAACUCAAAUAUCCUGAUAUCACUUUAUUCAUAUACUCCUUUUGUGAAGUUUUGAAGUUUUUUUUCUUGAAUUAAAAUCUUGAAGCGCAUGUUGUCUGUUGCCGCUGCUUGGUACCAAAUGCUUCCAUAAACUACUGGUUCACACACUGAUUCUAUACCAGCUGGUUUCUGGUGUUGUUUGUUUGUUGGUGUAGUUUGAGCAUUGUAAAGCAACUUUUGGCCUGGUUUGCUUUUGGUUGCUUUGCUUGAUGCAAUUAGCUACUGAUGCUGCUUGCUUGGAGCUUGGGAGUUGUUUCUGCAGCUUUUGGAGAUUUUAAACUAAUACAUUUGAAACUCGAUUAUUUUUUUACUAAAGUUUAAUUUAUUGCUUUUUUACAUGAAACUCGAAUCAUGCAAAUUAUUAUUAUUAAAUUCAAUAGUGUAAUUUGGGGAGCUGCAUACCAAUAAUUAUUAAAAUAGUUGUCAAAAAGGGCAGGCGUCACUGUGUUGAGUUGUUGAACAAUGGUCCCACAGACUAUAAUAAUUGAUUCAUGAGAUGGUGUUUUAGUUGUAAAAAAGAGAUAUUAGUAAUUUGAAAAACAUUUGAUAAUCGAUAUCUCUUAAUUAUCUUAAAAAAGUUAUCAUUUGUUAUUUU
Molecule: long non-coding RNA, 1833 nt
Organism: Amaranthus tricolor (Joseph's coat)
Lineage: Eukaryota; Viridiplantae; Streptophyta; Magnoliopsida; Caryophyllales; Amaranthaceae
Exons: 4
Source: RefSeq, a predicted model, not a curated record